AGGGAUGUGGCUCAGUGGAAGAGCACUUGCCUAGCAUGUGUGAGGCACUGGGUUUGAUUCUCAGCAUCACAU
RNAcentral lists this transfer RNA (72 nucleotides) under Marmota monax (woodchuck). It matches the Rfam family "tRNA". From Rfam's summary of the family: Transfer RNA (tRNA) molecules are approximately 80 nucleotides in length. Their secondary structure includes four short double-helical elements and three loops (D, anti-codon, and T loops). Further hydrogen bonds mediate the characteristic L-shaped molecular structure. tRNAs have two regions of fundamental functional importance: the anti-codon, which is responsible for specific mRNA codon recognition, and the 3' end, to which the tRNAs corresponding amino acid is attached (by aminoacyl-tRNA synthetases). tRNAs cope with the degeneracy of the genetic code in two manners: having more than one tRNA (with a specific anti-codon) for a particular amino acid; and 'wobble' base-pairing, i.e. permitting non-standard base-pairing at the 3rd anti-codon position. Lineage: Eukaryota; Metazoa; Chordata; Mammalia; Rodentia; Sciuridae. The record is from Rfam by way of RNAcentral.